CAGUCGCCACGGUAAUACGGAGGGGGCUAGCGUUGUUCGGAAUUACUGGGCGUAAAGCGCACGUAGGCGGCUUGGUAAGUUAGAGGUGAAAGCCUGGAGCUCAACUCCAGAAUUGCCUUUAAGACUGCCGAGCUAGCAGGUGAGAGAGGUAAGUGGAAUUCCGAGUGUAGAGGUGAAAUUCGUAGAUAUUCGCAGGAACACCAGUGGCGAAGGCGGCUCACUGGCUCGAUACUGACGCUGAGGUGCGAAAGCGUGGGGAGCAAACAGGAUUAGAUACCCCGGUAGUCCCUGUCUCUUAUAC
This 301-nucleotide ribosomal RNA is filed under the name uncultured bacterium. RNAcentral describes it as "partial 16S ribosomal RNA". It matches the Rfam family "Bacterial small subunit ribosomal RNA", at positions 509 to 807 of the family's 1533-position model. The record is from RNAcentral.